UACGGAGGGGGCUAGCGUUGUUCGGAAUUACUGGGCGUAAAGCGCACGUAGGCGGCUUUGUAAGUUAGAGGUGAAAGCCCGGGGCUCAACUCCGGAAUUGCCUUUAAGACUGCAUCGCUAGAAUUGUGGAGAGGUAAGUGGAAUUCCGAGUGUAGAGGUGAAAUGCGUAGAGACCCGGAGGAACACCAGUGGCGAAGGCGGCUUCCUGGUCUGCAACUGACGCUGUGGCGCGAAAGCUAGGGGAGCAAACGGG
Molecule: ribosomal RNA, 253 nt
Filed under: uncultured bacterium
Lineage: Bacteria
Description: partial 16S ribosomal RNA
Rfam family: Bacterial small subunit ribosomal RNA
Source: RNAcentral